Molecule: ribosomal RNA, 702 nt
Filed under: Scutellospora calospora
Lineage: Eukaryota; Fungi; Glomeromycota; Glomeromycetes; Diversisporales; Gigasporaceae
Description: SSU rRNA
Rfam family: Eukaryotic small subunit ribosomal RNA
Source: RNAcentral
CCGGAGAGGGAGCCUGAGAAACGGCUACCACAUCCAAGGAAGGCAGCAGGCGCGCAAAUUACCCAAUCCCGACACGGGGAGGUAGUGACAAUAAAUAACAAUACAGGGCUCUUACGGGUCUUGUAAUUGGAAUGAGUACAAUUUAAAUCCCUUAACGAGGAACAAUUGGAGGGCAAGUCUGGUGCCAGCAGCCGCGGUAAUUCCAGCUCCAAUAGCGUAUAUUAAAGUUGUUGCAGUUAAAAAGCUCGUAGUUGAAUUUCGGGGUUCUACCGUUGGUCGGGCUACCAAGUCUGUACUGAUGUGUAGAAUUUCUACCUUCUGGGGAACUAUCAUGUUAUUAAUUUAGCGUGGUGGGAAACCAGGACCUUUACCUUGAAAAAAUUAGAGUGUUCAAAGCAGGCUUACGUCUGAAUACAUUAGCAUGGAAUAAUAGAAUAGGACGGUGGUCCUGUUUUGUUGGUUUCUGAAUCACCGUAAUGAUUAAUAGGGAUAGUUGGGGGCAUUAGUAUUCAAUUGUCAGAGGUGAAAUUCUUGGAUUUAUUGAAGACUAACUUCUGCGAAAGCAUUUGCCAAGGAUGUUUUCAUUAAUCAAGAACGAAAGUUAGGGGAUCGAAGACGAUCAGAUACCGUCGUAGUCUUAACCAUAAACUAUGCCGACUAGGGAUCGGACGAUGUUAACUUUUAUUGACUCGUUCGGCGCCU